RNAcentral lists this ribosomal RNA (253 nucleotides) under uncultured bacterium. RNAcentral's name for it is "partial 16S ribosomal RNA". It matches the Rfam family "Bacterial small subunit ribosomal RNA", at positions 524 to 776 of the family's 1533-position model. The record is from RNAcentral.
UACGGAGGGGGCAAGCGUUAUUCGGAAUUAUUGGGCGUAAAGGGCGCGUAGGCGGCCUGGCAAGUGGAAGGUGAAAUCCCUCGGCUUAACCGAGGAACUGCCCUCCAAACUGCUUGGCUUGAGUACGGGAGAGGUGAGUGGAAUUCCCAGUGUAGCGGUGAAAUGCGUAGAUAUUGGGAGGAACACCAGUGGCGAAGGCGGCUCACUGGACAGGAACUGACGCUGAGGCGCGAAAGCGUGGGGAUCAAACGGG